This 519-nucleotide ribosomal RNA is filed under the name uncultured bacterium. RNAcentral describes it as "bacterial SSU rRNA". It matches the Rfam family "Bacterial small subunit ribosomal RNA", at positions 27 to 518 of the family's 1533-position model. The record is from RNAcentral.
GGACGAACGCUGGCGGCGUGCCUAAUACAUGCAAGUCGAACGGUCUUUCUAUGGAAGCUUGCUUCCACUGAGAAGAUAGUGGCGAACGGGUGAGUAACACGUGGGUAACCUGCCCAUAAGAGGGGGGAUAACAUCCGGAAACGGGUGCUAAUACCGCAUAGUUUUCUUGAUCGCAUGAUCGGGAAAGGAAAGACGGCCUUUGUGCUGUCGCUUAUGGAUGGACCCGCGGCGUAUUAGUUAGUUGGUGAGGUAACGGCUCACCAAGACGAUGAUACGUAGCCGACCUGAGAGGGUGAUCGGCCACAUUGGGACUGAGACACGGCCCAAACUCCUACGGGAGGCAGCAGUAGGGAAUCUUCCGCAAUGGACGAAAGUCUGACGGAGCAACGCCGCGUGAGUGAAGAAAGGUUUUCGGAUCGUAAAACUCUGUUGUCAGAGAAGAACAAGUUGGAGAGUAACUGCUCCAGCCUUGACGGUAUCUGACCAGAAAGCCACGGCUAACUACGUGCCAGCAGCGGC